GUGAAGCAAUAAUUACGUAAUGCAUUAUGUGUGAAAUACCAUCUUCUUCCUCCACUCCACAACCCUUCCUCGCACCGCCGCCACUUUAGUCAGCUUCAGCCCUUCCGCCCCUCGAUCUUUGAACCUCUAGUGUCAUCGUUCUCCCAUUGGCCCGCCUUUCACUCUCUGUUUGGAUCCUCCUGAAAUCUAUCGGUGCUGCUCGGGAUCCGCCAUCACCCAUUGGAUCUAUGAGUACUCCUUAGAUCCACAAUCAAUGUGUGCUGGUACCAUUGCCAGAGUUGGUGUAAGCUUGAACACCACCACUCUUUGAUUAGGCGCUCCUCUAAGCCCAAUGGAAGUCUUAGGCAAGCACAUUGCUGCAGGCUUAUCUAGGAGGGCCAUACCUGGGGUGGUCUUACCUGGGGACCUUAUCUGGGGGGGCUUAUCUGACGGCGACCAGGAAGGCGGCGGCAAAUGCAUGGAAGGACUAGUUGUAGUUGAUUUAGUUCUCGUAGUUGUUUUAGUUCUGGUAGUUGUUUUAGUUCUCGUACUCGUAGUUGUUUUAGUGCUCGUAGAUGGUACCUCUUUCACAAAAAAUGCCGUUUUUACACUAAUAAAAGGAAAAGUCCAUUUUCUUUACAACCAAGUGGUACCAAGUUUAAUACAUUAAUACAUAUCACAUAAAGUUUAA
Long non-coding RNA from Hordeum vulgare subsp. vulgare (domesticated barley), 670 nucleotides. RefSeq lists it as uncharacterized. NCBI's taxonomy places the organism in Eukaryota, Viridiplantae, Streptophyta, Magnoliopsida, Poales, Poaceae. The transcript is spliced from 2 exons. The record is from RefSeq and is a predicted model, not a curated record.